Molecule: non-coding RNA, 86 nt
Organism: Ataeniobius toweri
Lineage: Eukaryota; Metazoa; Chordata; Actinopteri; Cyprinodontiformes; Goodeidae
Source: the annotation of a GenBank genome assembly
CCUUCGAUAGCUCAGUUGGUAGAGCGGAGGACUGUAGGGUAUACACGGUAAUCCUUAGGUCGCUGGUUCGACUCCGGCUCGAAGGA